CCUACGGGCGACAGCAGUGAGGAAUAGUGGUCAAUGGACGCAAGUCUGAACCAGCCAUGCCGCGUGCAGGAAGACGGCGCUAUGAGUUGUAAACUGCUUUUGUACGAGGGUAAACGCAGAUACGCGUAGCUGUCUGAAAGUAUCGUACGAAUAAGGAGCGGCGAACUCCGGGCCAGCAGCCGCGGUAAUACGGAGGAUUCAAGCGUUAUCCGGAUUUAUUGGGUUUAAAGGGUGCGUAGGCGGUCGGAUAAGUUAGAGGUGAAAUCCCGAGGCUCAACUUCGGAAUUGCCUCUGAUACUUUUCGGCUAGUGAGUAGUUGCGGUAGGCGUAAUGUAUGGUGUAGCGG
This 346-nucleotide ribosomal RNA is filed under the name uncultured bacterium. Its description in RNAcentral is "partial 16S ribosomal RNA". It matches the Rfam family "Bacterial small subunit ribosomal RNA", at positions 338 to 681 of the family's 1533-position model. The record is from RNAcentral.